CCCUGAGGGAGGCGCUGCAGAGCCGAGCGGAGCCUUUUCCCGGGCAGCGGGGAGGGAGAGGGGAGGUGCGGCGGCCCAGCUCCCUCUGGGGGCGGGUCUGAGAGGGGCUGGACAUGAGUGAAGGGGGUGUGCCCCCCUGGCCCGCAAAGUGAGUCGUGUUCUGUCAGAAGACAGGGGAAAAUAAGCGACUCUUGAACACAACUGUGGACCUCCACAGCUAACCUCGUCCAGAAGGAAAAGGGAAAUCCACAGGCCUUGGGAAGCUGUCACUGAGUCAGAAAACUGCCCUCGCCAACCUGCCCCAUGGCACUGACCAGUGACAUGGGCAGGAGGGACCAAAGAACGGCCUCUCAGCAACAGAGGGGAUGGCAUCCUGCGUGCUUUGGAAAUUCAAGUGUAUUUUAUCUCACAAUAUGUAAUCAACAAUUAACAAUGGAAACACCCAAAGGAGCAGACUACAAUUUCCUGGCAUUAGUUUGCUAGAUUCAGUAGUCAUCUUACCUAAGUACACAACAUUAAAGUCCUAACUUUUUUGUUAAUUUUUUUAAUACGUAUUCAAUAUCACCUGCUAGGGAGUCCAGAGGUACUGUACAGAAGAGGCUUUGAAACACCAGCUGCACAUCCUGCUUCUUGAAAGAGAUCCCAAAAGCCACUGGCAGGAAGAUUAAAAGAGUUCUACCACAAGUUACAUGAGCUGCACAAAUCACUUCUGACAACCAAGGUAAAUAAAUGCCCUGGAAGUUCUGUCACUCAUCAUCUGGACUAUGAACUUCAGGACAGACAGUUUUGUCUCUACUUGCUGCUAUCAAGCUAUCAGUGCUUCAGUCAAACAGAAUAUAAAAUGCAAAUAAAACAUUAUUUACUACAGGUUAGAAAAAUUAUUUCAGAAGCUUAGCAUUGUUUAGGAAAUACAUCUUGAGUCACACAUCUGCAAUGACAUGCAGCUAUACUAAUGAGGAAAAUAGGAACACGAUUUAAUUUCAUUGAAACACAAA
Long non-coding RNA from Corapipo altera (White-ruffed manakin), 995 nucleotides. RefSeq lists it as uncharacterized. The transcript is spliced from 3 exons. The record is from RefSeq and is a predicted model, not a curated record. NCBI's taxonomy places the organism in Eukaryota, Metazoa, Chordata, Aves, Passeriformes, Pipridae.